This 423-nucleotide long non-coding RNA is filed under the name Carica papaya (papaya). Its description in RNAcentral is "long non-coding RNA (CPAP_LNC015116)". The record is from RNAcentral. Lineage: Eukaryota; Viridiplantae; Streptophyta; Magnoliopsida; Brassicales; Caricaceae.
UCAAACUUCCCUUUCACAACAAAUAUUCUUAAACAUUGUGUCUCUAUGAUCAGGACGUUCCUUUGUUUUUGUUCUUUAUUUUUCUCUUAAUAGACCAUCUUUCUAUCGAGCUUCUUCGAUGCUUAAUGGACCAUUGGUUUCCUUUUCAGCCUUUUUUCUCUCUUAUGCUCUCCUUGAGUAUUUAUAAAAGUACUGUUUAAUUUUGACCUGAUCUUCAUGUGCCUCUUUUGGUGAUAAAGACUUAAGGACAUGAUACAGACCAUUCUUUCACAAUGAAUAUCGAUUGGUGCAGCUGCUAUUUUAUACCUAUCUAUCAAACUUCCAAGGUCUCCUAAGUAUCAGGUGACUGACAUGCAUAUGUAUAAUAUCACAACAUACCGUAUCAUGAUAUUCUCCAACUGAGAAACACACUAUGACUUCUUU